AACGAACGCUGGCGGCAUGCCUAACACAUGCAAGUCGAACGAGACCUUCGGGUCUAGUGGCGCACGGGUGCGUAACGCGUGGGAACCUGCCCUUAGGUUUGGAAUAACUCCCCGAAAGGGGUGCUAAUACCGGAUAAUGUCUUCGGACCAAAGAUUUAUCGCCUUUGGAUGGGCCCGCGUUGGAUUAGCUAGUUGGUAGGGUAAAAGCCUACCAAGGCGACGAUCCAUAGCUGGUCUGAGAGGAUGAUCAGCCACACUGGGACUGAGACACGGCCCAGACUCCUACGGGAGGCAGCAGUGGGGAAUAUUGGACAAUAGGCGAAAGCCUGAUCCAGCAAUGCCGCGUGAGUGAUGAAGGCCUUAGGGUUGUAAAGCUCUUUUACCCGGGAUGAUAAUGACAGUACCGGGAGAAUAAGCUCCGGCUAACUCCGUG
Molecule: ribosomal RNA, 433 nt
Filed under: uncultured bacterium
Lineage: Bacteria
Description: partial 16S ribosomal RNA
Rfam family: Bacterial small subunit ribosomal RNA
Source: RNAcentral